Molecule: long non-coding RNA, 332 nt
Organism: Asparagus officinalis (garden asparagus)
Lineage: Eukaryota; Viridiplantae; Streptophyta; Magnoliopsida; Asparagales; Asparagaceae
Exons: 3
Source: RefSeq, a predicted model, not a curated record
AUGUUUUUAUCCCGUUUCUUGUGUGAUUUUUUAAGAUAUUCCCGACGAUCGGGGAGGCGAAGAGGAUGGUUCUGGUGAGGCACGGGCAGAGCACGUGGAACGAGGAGGGGAGGAUCCAAGGGAGCUCUGAUUUCUCCGUUCUCACCCCGAAGGACGUCUCAGGCCGAAACCUCUUGCCAUGUGCUCAUCGCCGACUCUUUUGAUGUCCGCUUCACCAGUCCCUUGAUCCGACCAAAGAGAACUGCUGAGAUUAUAUGGGCUGCUCGACAGGAGGAAAUGAUAUCAGAAUCUGACCUUCGGGAGAUUUAUCUCUACGCUUUUUAAGUUAGCAG